UCCCUGGUAGCUCAGAUGGUAAAGCUUCUGCCUACGAUGCAGGAGACCCAGGUUCGAUCCCUGGGUUGGGAA
Molecule: transfer RNA, 72 nt
Filed under: Bos taurus (domestic cattle)
Lineage: Eukaryota; Metazoa; Chordata; Mammalia; Artiodactyla; Bovidae
Also listed under: 1 other name
Rfam family: tRNA
About the family: Transfer RNA (tRNA) molecules are approximately 80 nucleotides in length. Their secondary structure includes four short double-helical elements and three loops (D, anti-codon, and T loops).
Source: Rfam by way of RNAcentral